Non-coding RNA from Streptomyces sp., 75 nucleotides. NCBI's taxonomy places the organism in Bacteria, Bacillati, Actinomycetota, Actinomycetes, Kitasatosporales, Streptomycetaceae. The record is from Rfam.
CUUGAGCGAACCGAGCAGCAGCGGCCGCGCGGGGUCGCGGUCCUGGCCGUAGGUGGCGAGGAUGGCCUGCGCCUC